RNAcentral lists this ribosomal RNA (431 nucleotides) under uncultured bacterium. Its description in RNAcentral is "partial 16S ribosomal RNA". It matches the Rfam family "Bacterial small subunit ribosomal RNA", at positions 29 to 507 of the family's 1533-position model. The record is from RNAcentral.
AACGAACGCUGGCGGCAGGCUUAACACAUGCAAGUCGAGCGCCCCGCAAGGGGAGCGGCAGACGGGUGAGUAACGCGUGGGAACGUACCUUUUGGUUCGGAACAACUCCGGGAAACUGGAGCUAAUACCGGAUAAGCCCUAACGGGGAAAGAUUUAUCGCCGAAAGAUCGGCCCGCGUCUGAUUAGCUAGUUGGUGAGGUAACGGCUCACCAAGGGGACGAUCAGUAGCUGGUCUGAGAGGAUGAUCAGACACACUGGGACUGAGACACGGCCCAGACUCCUACGGGAGGGAGCAGUGGGGAAUAUUGGACAAUGGGCGCAAGCCUGAUCCAGCCAUGCCGCGUGAGUGAUUAAGGCCUUAGGGUUGUAAAGCUCUUUUGUCCGGGAAGAUAAUGACUGUACCGGAAGAAUAAGCCCCGGCUAACUUCGUG